UGGGGAAUAUUGCACAAUGGAGGGAACUCUGAUGCAGCGACGCCGCGUGAGUGAUGAAGGAAUUCGUUUCGUAAAACUCUGUUCUAUGGGAAGAAAAGGACUGUACCAUAGGAGAAAGCUCCGGCUAAAUACGUGCCAGCAGCCGCGGUAAUACGUAUGGAGCGAGCGUUGUCCGGAAUUAUUGGGCGUAAAGGGUGCGCAGGCGGCUUUACAAGUUGGAUGUGAAAUAUUGUGGCUCAACCACAAACGUGCAUCCAAAACUGCAAAGCUUGAGUUAAGGAGAGGUAAGUGGAAUUCCUGGUGUAGCGGUGGAAUGCGUAGAUAUCAGGAGGAAUACCGGUGGCGAAGGCGACUUACUGGACUUAAACUGACGCUCAGGCACGAAAGCGUGGGGAACAAACAGG
RNAcentral lists this ribosomal RNA (404 nucleotides) under Fusobacteriota bacterium. Its description in RNAcentral is "Fusobacteria bacterium partial 16S ribosomal RNA". It matches the Rfam family "Bacterial small subunit ribosomal RNA", at positions 355 to 776 of the family's 1533-position model. The record is from RNAcentral. Lineage: Bacteria; Fusobacteriati; Fusobacteriota.